GCCUCAGUGGUCGAGCUGGUUAAGACACUCUUCCCGGAAAGUUGAGAGGUCCCAGGUUCGAAUCCUGGCUGAGGUA
Molecule: non-coding RNA, 76 nt
Organism: Trachymyrmex cornetzi
Lineage: Eukaryota; Metazoa; Arthropoda; Insecta; Hymenoptera; Formicidae
Source: Rfam